CGCGCCCCCUCCAGCCCGGCCCCUCUCCCGGCGGGGGCACAGCCCCUCUUCCCCAGCGGCGCUGCCGGCGGGGCCCCUUCCGGGACGCCGACCCGAGGUGGGGGGUGGCGGGGAGGGGAUGCGGUGCCGGAUUUCUCUUCCGGAUGGAGAAUGGCAGCUGCCCACCUGGGAGCCCCCUCCCCUGCUGACGACGACCAGACCCCCGCUCUGUCUGGGCUCUCAAAGCCACCCCACCCGCUACCCCCGUCCCGUCCAGGCCUCCAGCUUCUCACCUCGGUGACCUGGGCCUCCCUGCCAACUGCUGAUGUCCUUGCCCUGGGAGAAGCCAACCCCACCUGGCCCAGGGCUCCCCUGGCCCAGCCCCUGCCUUCUCCCUGGGGCGCCCUCCUAGGACACCCGGAUAGCUCUCACCAAAACCUGGUGGCCUCCUGCGCCCUGGCCCUGGCUGCCACAGGAGAGAACCACCCCACCAGGCCACCCUCCUCUUGGCCAGCCUGCACUUGGAGAAACCUGCCCAGCAGGCAGCUCUUGAUCAAAGUCCCCUCACGGAGACCAUGACACUUAAGGGCCCUGAAGAAGGGGGUUUCACCAGGUAAGCCAGGAGGCUGCCUCUGUGCGGUGGGGUCCACUCGGGACCUCCUGGGCAGGCCACACUGCCGGUGGGCACCAGGUCUGGGGGUGCCUGAGCGAGGCGGUGGGAGUCAUCAGUGUGGUCACAGCUCUGGCCGAGAGGCCGGCCCCUCCAGCUGGCCUCCCCAGGGUUGCGUCAGGGUUCACGGCUCACACCGUGACCUCAGAGCAAAUCAGGGAUAAAGGGGACCCUGGGUUUGUGCCUGCUGCACGCGAGGCCUCAGGUCUCAGGUGCAGGGCAGGGGGCUCUUCUCCUGGGACCCAGGGCGAGAGCACCUGACGCUCGGCACAGCCCUCCGAUCCAGUGCGUCUGCCCAGCCUCCCCUGGGGCCGGGGCAGCUGAGGGGCCACCUCGUGCCCGCGGGAAACAACCCGGAACAGCAGGAUGGGACACGGCUCAGGGACCCUCUCAGCCGUAUUCCCUGCAAAGACACGAUGCAUGCCUGCCCAUCCUCCCCCUGGAUGCCCAACACCCGUAGGGGUCACAGACUCCCAGCUGGGCCGGAGCACCGGGCAGGACCCUCCAACUGAGGGAGCCCGCAGGGGCUCACGGUGACCUGGGCCCACUCUCAGCUCGGGCCCCAUAAAUCCUGGGGCUAAGAAGACAAGAUGGGAAGGGGCAGAGGGCUCGGAAGAACCCCUCUGACCCAGCCACUUCCCGCCAAGCCUGGGAGCCAUGUCAAAGUCACGGGAACCCUCGGCCUGGCAUCCCAGCAACUCAGUCCCCCUCCAGCUUGUGACCUGCCACUUCUGACCUCCCCUGAUUCCAGGCCCCAGGGGGCGCACUGAGCAGGAUGGUGGCGUAGAAGCAGAGGCAGGGACCGGCACCCUCCGCUCCGCUGCCCAGGGAGCUGCAGGCAGCCAGCCCGCUGCCUGGGGAGGACGGUCUCCCCACCGGCCACUGUCCAGGUGCCUCCGCCCACCCCUGCCCUCGCCAACCCAGCAGGAUAAAAGCAUCUGGCCCAAAGGAACUGAAAGCAGAGACUGGAACAGAAUCUGGCGUGCCCCUGCGCUCGGCUGCUUGCUCGUGACAGCCAGAAGGUGGCGCAACUCGUGUCCGUUCACAGAGUGGGUGACAAAAUGUGGUGUAGCCACAGACGAAAUAUUAUUUGGCCUUCAUGAGUAACCAAGGAUGGCACCUGCUAUGGUGAGGAGGAACCAGCCUCGCAAACGCCACGCCGAUCGGAGCGAGAGCAGCCGGGCUUGAAAGGACACUGUGACUCUCUCCCCACAGGCGUCAGAUUCAGAGACAGAGCAGAAGAGUGGGUACCGGGGGCGGGGCUGGGGAGUCUGUGUCCACUGGGGACAGUGGUUCGGGGGGGGGGGAAGACAAGAAAGUUUUGGAGACGGACGGCGUGGACAGCUGCACAACAGUGUGAAUGUGUUUCAUGACUCUGAGCUGUAUGCAAAAGCAGCUAAAAUGCUAAAUCUUUUCAUGCAUAUUUUGUCACCAAAAAAGCAAGCCCCCCCAACAUUUGCAACAUGCAUAUACUACACA
Suricata suricatta (meerkat) is the source of this 2128-nucleotide long non-coding RNA. RefSeq lists it as uncharacterized. The transcript has 3 exons. The record is from RefSeq and is a predicted model, not a curated record. NCBI's taxonomy places the organism in Eukaryota, Metazoa, Chordata, Mammalia, Carnivora, Herpestidae.